This 562-nucleotide long non-coding RNA is filed under the name Vulpes vulpes (red fox). RNAcentral's name for it is "lncRNA (ENSVVUG00000019681.1)". The record is from RNAcentral. Lineage: Eukaryota; Metazoa; Chordata; Mammalia; Carnivora; Canidae.
GGGACGCUGGCUCCCACUGAGCCCGCGCCCUCUUCCUCGGGGCGAAGUGGCGGGCCACGGCGCCCCGAGCCUUGUAGGUCAGGCAAGGCAAGGGGCGCCCUAACCAGUCGCCGCUGGCCCGCGCCACCUGUUGGAGUGGGGAAGCCGGCGACGCGCGGCUACCGGCGGACUCAGGCUCAGCGGCAAAAGUGAAGUCCGGGCGGCGGAGCCGCGGGUUUCUGCUGAUAAGUGCAAAGAACCACCCUCUCGGUGCUAAGUGCACAGUAAACCCCAGAGUUUUAAUGCUAUCAUGCAGCCAACCCUCCAACAGAAGGCUUAAAUCUCCCCAAGCCGUGGGCCAGCCGGCAGAGAUUUCUCAGGCAGCUUCCCACGACCUGUUGCCAUUACCACCGCCUCAGAUAUGGAUUGGCUAGCAAUAGAAUUCAAAGGACUAAAGAGUCUGUGUGAUGCUACAGAUGAAAGCUCUACCCAGGUAAGUUAUAUUUUAAUUAAUAUCAUGCAUACCUUAUCUUAUUCCACUAAAGUUUUGAGGGGUCUCAUGGGAAUCCAUAUAAGAAAUAAA